GCAUUUUAACUCUAUUUACCCCCAACUGUUUUAAUUUAACCUAUGGUUUUUUUUUUUUAAUUUUAAAUUAAUUAAUUGAUUAUUUUUUUUAGAUGCAGUUUAGGUCUUGUUGCCCAGGCUGGAGUGCAGUGGUGUGAUCUCGGCUCACUGCAACCUCCCUUUCCUGAGUUCAAGCGAUUCUCCUGCCUCAGCCUCCCAGGUAGCUGGGAUUAUAGGCACCGGCCCCCAUGCCUGGCUAAUUUUUUGUGUUUUUAGUAGAGACUGGGUUUCACCAUAUUGGCCAGGCUGGUCUCGAACUCCUGACCUCAGGUGAUCUGCCCACCUCGGCCUCCCAAAAUGCUGGGAUUACAGGCAUGAGUCACUGUGCCCAGCCAAUUUAUCUUAUGUUUAAUAGAGUUCAAUGUUCACUAUGAUUUCUUUCAUACAAAUGAUUUCCGCAUUUGUGAUUUAAUCUUUCAUUUGGCGUCAUUUUGGGGUCGAUUUAUUGCAGGUGUUUGAAAUCAGAAAACAAGUGAGGCUUAAUCAAGAUAGGAGUUUAUUUCUCUCUCCCAAAAGAAGUCUGGAAGCAGGCAGGCCCGGGCUGUGACUGGGCCUUCGUGAACUAAGUCCUAAAGAUCUAGACUGGUAGCCCUCUGGCCUCCUCAGAAGAAAGAGAGACGGAGGACAGGCUUCUCCCUGGGAAAAACUGCCCGGAAACCCCUCACAGCACUUCUUGGAUUCCUUUGGACAGAACUUGAUCAACAUGGCAACAGCUGAAUGAAAGGGAAUUUGGAAAGUGUCAUUUUAAGUCUGGCUGGCUCUGUGCCUUCCUCAUUUCAGAGUCCCGUCCCUGACGAAGCAGGAGACACAACCAGCAGACUCUGCCACAGUCUUCGCGUAUAUACCCCAUGUGACGCCUGUAUCCUCAGUCCUUGGAAAGCUAACUGGAAAAAAAGUACAAAAGAAAAGCAGAAAAACCCACAUCUAGAAGAGGACAAUAGCAGAAGCGUGUGGGAGGCAGCGAUGUGGGGCUCAAGAGGCGACAGUUUUUCUCCAUGACUGCAAAAUCCUGCUUGCAAGAUGCACUGCCCCUCUCCAGGAGGUAUGGAGGGUCUCAGAAUUCUCACUGCAUUAAUGAGGGGUUAUGAAAUGUUUUCCUGCUUCUCUGAGCCUGUGGUUAGAGCAGAGGUCCCCAGUGCCUGAGCCACGGAUCAGUACCUGUUUGUGGCCUGUUAGGAACUGGGCUGCACAGGAGGAGGUGAGUGGCAGGUGAGCUAGCAAAGUUUCAUGUGUAUUGACAGCCACUCCCCAUCGUUCGCAUUACCACCUGAGCUCCGCCUCCUGUCAGAUCAGUGUCGGUACUAGAUUCUCACAGGAGUGCGAACCUUGUUGUGAACUGUGCGUGGGAGGGAUCUAGGUUGCAUACUCCUUAUGAGAAUCUAAUGCCUGAUGAUCUGUCACUGUCUCCCAUCACCCCCAGAUAGGACCAUCUAGUUGCAGGAAAACAAGCUCAAGGCUUCUAUUGAUUCUACAUUAUGGUGAGUUGUUUUAUUAUUUCAUUAUAUAUUAUCACAUAAUAAUAGAAAUGAAAUGCACAAUAAAUGUAAUAUGCUUGAAUCAUCCACAAACCAUACCCCCGUCCUCGUCUGUGGAAAAAAUUGUCUUCCACAAAACUGGUCCAUGGUGCCAAGAAGGUUGGGGACUGUCAGGCUAGGGGACAGAUGACCUCAGUUGCACGUUAGUGUCACAACUGAUGUCUUUCCCCGGGGGGGCCAUUCAGUUUGCUUCCUAAACUCUUUCCUCUCAAAGUGCCUGUAGCAUCUUGGUUUUCUCCUUUUCCUUGAAUACCUUCCAUCUCUAUUUUCCAGAAGAAACUCUGCUUCACUUCCUGCUGGCUGCCUGACAUGUACUUCCAUGCUUUCAGUUAUUCACUCAACAAAUAUUUAUUGAGUGCCUACUGUAUGCCAAACAGGCCCCUAGGCACUGGGGCACAGCAUGAAUAAAACAGAUACACGUCUCUCAAAUAUAACUCAGUUUAAUGCAUUUUUAAAUUCUAUUUCCCAG
Molecule: long non-coding RNA, 2043 nt
Filed under: Macaca mulatta (Rhesus monkey)
Lineage: Eukaryota; Metazoa; Chordata; Mammalia; Primates; Cercopithecidae
Description: lncRNA (ENSMMUG00000061278.1)
Source: RNAcentral